AUUGAACGCUGGCGGCAUGCCUAACACAUGCAAGUCGAACGGCAGCACGGCAGUAGCAAUACUGUGGGUGGCGAGUGGCGGACGGGUGAGGAAUACGUCGGAAUCUGCCCAGUCGUGGGGGAUAACUAGCCGAAAGGUUAGCUAAUACCGCAUACGACCGAGAGGUGAAAGCGGGGGACCGCAAGGCCUCGCGCGAUUGGAUGAGCCGACGUCGGAUUAGCUAGUUGGAGGGGUAAAGGCCCACCAAGCCUUCGAUCUGUAGCUGGUCUGAGAGGACGACCAGCCACACUGGGACUGAGACACGGCCCAGACUCCUACGGGAGGCAGCAGUGGGGAAUUUUGGACAAUGGGCGCAAGCCUGAUCCAGCCAUGCCGCGUGCGGGAAGAAGGCCU
RNAcentral lists this ribosomal RNA (393 nucleotides) under uncultured bacterium. Its description in RNAcentral is "bacterial SSU rRNA". It matches the Rfam family "Bacterial small subunit ribosomal RNA", at positions 29 to 417 of the family's 1533-position model. The record is from RNAcentral.